This is a non-coding RNA of Mycena albidolilacea, 88 nucleotides long. Lineage: Eukaryota; Fungi; Basidiomycota; Agaricomycetes; Agaricales; Mycenaceae. The record is from the annotation of a GenBank genome assembly.
GACUGCGUUGGUCUAGAGGAAACUGUUCCCCUUGCAGAGUUUCGGCACUGCACACGAGAGGCUGUGGGUUCGAAUCCCACCGCGGUCC